RNAcentral lists this ribosomal RNA (497 nucleotides) under uncultured bacterium. Its description in RNAcentral is "partial 16S ribosomal RNA". It matches the Rfam family "Bacterial small subunit ribosomal RNA", at positions 28 to 507 of the family's 1533-position model. The record is from RNAcentral.
GAUGAACGCUGGCGGCGUGCCUAAUACAUGCAAGUCGAGCGAACAGACGAGGAGCUUGCUCCUUUGACGUUAGCGGCGGACGGGUGAGUAACACGUGGAUAACCUACCUAUAAGACUGGGAUAACUUCGGGAAACCGGAGCUAAUACCGGAUAAUAUAUUGAACCGCAUGGUUCAAUAGUGAAAGACGGUUUUGCUGUCACUUAUAGAUGGAUCCGCGCCGCAUUAGCUAGUUGGUAAGGUAACGGCUUACCAAGGCAACGAUGCGUAGCCGACCUGAGAGGGUGGUUGGCCACACUGGAACUGAGACACGGUCCAUACUCCUACGGGAGGCAGCAGUAGGGAAUCUUCCGCAAUGGGCGGAAGCCUGACGGAGCAACCCCGCGUGAGUGGUGAAGGUCUUCGGAUCGUGAAACUCUGUUAUUAGGGAAGAACAAAUGUGUAAGUAAAUAUGCACGUCUUGACGGUACCUAAUCAGAAAGCCCCGGCUAACUACGUG